This 291-nucleotide long non-coding RNA is filed under the name Malus domestica (apple). Its description in RNAcentral is "long non-coding RNA (MDOM_LNC011540)". The record is from RNAcentral. Lineage: Eukaryota; Viridiplantae; Streptophyta; Magnoliopsida; Rosales; Rosaceae.
GAUCACCGGAGCGUCCUCCACCACCGAGAGCAUCGUGGGCAUCCUCGGAAACGUCCUUCCGAUGAGGUACCCGUCCCACGAGGCCCGAGGCUCGUCAAAGGAGUAUCUCGGGUCGUCGAACGACAUCCGACCCGCGUCGAGCGACAUCCGACCCGCGUCAAGCGAAAACCUCGGAUCCGUGUCGCAGGAACGCCGGCCGAAGCCGUAAUCGGCGAUCUCCGACUGGGUUUCUCUGAACUGUCUCCCGAUUGGCUUCUCCACCGGCAAUGUGGCCGAUCCGCAGCCGUUCCG